UGGCGAACGGGUGAGUAACACGUGGGCAACCUGCCCAAAAGAGGGGGAGUAACACUUGGAAACAGGUGCUAAUACCGCAUAACCAUAGUUACCGCAUGGUAACUAUGUAAAAGGUGGCUAUGCUACCGCUUUUGGAUGGGCCCGCGGCGCAUUAGCUAGUUGGUGGGGUAAAGGCUUACCAAGGCAAUGAUGCGUAGCCGAACUGAGAGGUUGAUCGGCCACAUUGGGACUGAGACACGGCCCAAACUCCUACGGAAGGCAGCAG
Molecule: ribosomal RNA, 265 nt
Filed under: uncultured bacterium
Lineage: Bacteria
Description: partial 16S ribosomal RNA
Rfam family: Bacterial small subunit ribosomal RNA
Source: RNAcentral